This 117-nucleotide non-coding RNA is filed under the name Chlorocebus sabaeus (green monkey). Lineage: Eukaryota; Metazoa; Chordata; Mammalia; Primates; Cercopithecidae. The record is from Rfam by way of RNAcentral.
GCCAGGUGUGGUGGCUCACACCUGUAAUCCUAGCACUUUGGGAGGCUGAGGUGGGUGGAUCACCUGAGGUCAGGAGUUCAAGACUAGCCUGACCAACAUGGUGAAACCCUGUCUCUA